This 493-nucleotide ribosomal RNA is filed under the name uncultured bacterium. RNAcentral describes it as "partial 16S ribosomal RNA". It matches the Rfam family "Bacterial small subunit ribosomal RNA", at positions 29 to 508 of the family's 1533-position model. The record is from RNAcentral.
AGUGAACGCUGGCGGUAGGCCUAACACAUGCAAGUCGAACGGCAGCACAGUAAGAGCUUGCUCUUACGGGUGGCGAGUGGCGGACGGGUGAGGAAUACAUCGGAAUCUACUUUUUCGUGGGGGAUAACGUAGGGAAACUUACGCUAAUACCGCAUACGACCUACGGGUGAAAGCAGGGGAUCUUCGGACCUUGCGCGAUUGAAUGAGCCGAUGUCGGAUUAGCUAGUUGGCGGGGUAAAGGCCCACCAAGGCGACGAUCCGUAGCUGGUCUGAGAGGAUGAUCAGCCACACUGGAACUGAGACACGGUCCAGACUCCUACGGGAGGCAGCAGUGGGGAAUAUUGGACAAUGGGCGCAAGCCUGAUCCAGCCAUACCGCGUGGGUGAAGAAGGCCUUCGGGUUGUAAAUCCCUUUUGUUGGGAAAGAAAAGCAGCAGGUUAAUACCCCGCUGUUCUGACGGUACCCAAAGAAUAAGCACCGGCUAACUUCGUGC